Molecule: non-coding RNA, 465 nt
Organism: Rhineura floridana
Lineage: Eukaryota; Metazoa; Chordata; Lepidosauria; Squamata; Rhineuridae
Source: the annotation of a RefSeq genome assembly
GAGAAUUGAGUCCUGUGCAUUUUUGGCACAAUGUUUUGGGUUCCUGUGAUUUUCUUCCUCGGGGCGCUUUUUUCAGGUUCAGAGUCUCAGCUAGUUGUGACGCAACCCCCUUUCAUCAACGCACUCCCAGGAGUGACAGUUAAACUCUCAUGCACUGUGAGCAGUGACUACAGCAUCAGUAGAGAUAGGGUGCGAUGGUUCCAGCAGAAAUCAGAGGGCCCCCCACGAUUUGUAUACCACUACUACACCAGUAGCGACCAAAACAGGGGCUCAGGGGUCCCAGAGAGAUUCAGUGUCUCCGCUGAUUCUUCCAAGAACCUCUGGAAUCUAGUGAUCACAGGAGUUCAAGCUGAAGAUGAGGCUGAGUAUUACUGCAACACUUGGGACAACAGGUACAACGUGUAUCACUGUGAUCCAUCCUUAUGGGGAACUGAGAGAAGAACCUCUCACUUCUGUUUUCUUUAA